Molecule: ribosomal RNA, 1508 nt
Filed under: metagenome
Description: bacterial SSU rRNA
Rfam family: Bacterial small subunit ribosomal RNA
Source: RNAcentral
AGAGUUUGAUCCUGGCUCAGGACGAACGCUGGCGGCGUGCCUAAUACAUGCAAGUCGAGCGGACAGAUGGGAGCUUGCUCCCUGAUGUUAGCGGCGGACGGGUGAGUAACACGUGGGUAACCUGCCUGUAAGACUGGGAUAACUCCGGGAAACCGGGGCUAAUACCGGAUGGUUGUUUGAACCGCAUGGUUCAAACAUAAAAGGUGGCUUCGGCUACCACUUACAGAUGGACCCGCGGCGCAUUAGCUAGUUGGUGAGGUGACGGCUCACCAAGGCAACGAUGCGUAGCCGACCUGAGAGGGUGAUCGGCCACACUGGGACUGAGACACGGCCCAGACUCCUACGGGAGGCAGCAGUAGGGAAUCUUCCGCAAGGGACGAAAGUCUGACGGAGCAACGCCGCGUGAGUGAUGAAGGUUUUCGGAUCGUAAAGCUCUGUUGUUAGGGAAGAACAAGUACCGUUCGAAUAGGGCGGUACCUUGACGGUACCUAACCAGAAAGCCACGGCUAACUACGUGCCAGCAGCCGCGGUAAUACGUAGGUGGCAAGCGUUGUCCGGAAUUAUUGGGCGUAAAGGGCUCGCAGGCGGUUUCUUAAGUCUGAUGUGAAAGCCCCCGGCUCAACCGGGGAGGGUCAUUGGAAACUGGGGAACUUGAGUGCAGAAGAGGAGAGUGGAAUUCCACGUGUAGCGGUGAAAUGCGUAGAGAUGUGGAGGAACACCAGUGGCGAAGGCGACUCUCUGGUCUGUAACUGACGCUGAGGAGCGAAAGCGUGGGGAGCGAACAGGAUUAGAUACCCUGGUAGUCCACGCCGUAAACGAUGAGUGCUAAGUGUUAGGGGGUUUCCGCCCCUUAGUGCUGCAGCUAACGCAUUAAGCACUCCGCCUGGGGAGUACGGUCGCAAGACUGAAACUCAAAGGAAUUGACGGGGGCCCGCACAAGCGGUGGAGCAUGUGGUUUAAUUCGAAGCAACGCGAAGAACCUUACCAGGUCUUGACAUCCUCUGACAAUCCUAGAGAUAGGACGUCCCCUUCGGGGGCAGAGUGACAGGUGGUGCAUGGUUGUCGUCAGCUCGUGUCGUGAGAUGUUGGGUUAAGUCCCGCAACGAGCGCAACCCUUGAUCUUAGUUGCCAGCAUUCAGUUGGGCACUCUAAGGUGACUGCCGGUGACAAACCGGAGGAAGGUGGGGAUGACGUCAAACCAUCAUGCCCCUUAUGACCUGGGCUACACACGUGCUACAAUGGACAGAACAAAGGGCAGCGAAACCGCGAGGUUAAGCCAAUCCCACAAAUCUGUUCUCAGUUCGGAUCGCAGUCUGCAACUCGACUGCGUGAAGCUGGAAUCGCUAGUAAUCGCGGACCAGCAUGCCGCGGUGAAUACGUUCCCGGGCCUUGUACACACCGCCCGUCACACCACGAGAGUUUGUAACACCCGAAGUCGGUGAGGUAACCUUUUAGGAGCCAGCCGCCGAAGGUGGGACAGAUGAUUGGGGUGAAGUCGUAACAAGGUA